Malaya genurostris is the source of this 1321-nucleotide long non-coding RNA. RefSeq lists it as uncharacterized. The transcript has 3 exons. The record is from RefSeq and is a predicted model, not a curated record. Lineage: Eukaryota; Metazoa; Arthropoda; Insecta; Diptera; Culicidae.
UACCGAUCGUUCGGUAAUUUCUGAACUGUCAAACAACUACCGUAAACUGUAAACCAAAUGGAUCUAACUGAUUGAAAACUACACAUAUUCACAAAAACGAAUGAAGAAAUUUUCAACUAGUGCUCUACUACAGCUGUUAGGUAUUAAACUUCUAAAGUGAACACGUAUUGAAAUAUAGGAACUUUUACAUACUGGAAGAAAUUUUCCAGUGGUCAUUAGACAGAAUAGAAUAAGUCCAAAAGGAAAACGUGAGAUUGUACUAUUUAUUCAAUCCUGCUUUCACCAAUCGACGACGAAUCAAUGGACGAAGGUGCAAAUAGUGAGCCUUUAGCCCCCAAACCUCACCGAAUGGUACAGAGGCUGCCUCCCCCACAAGGAAAAAGGUAUCGAAGAGACCCAGUACCAUGAAUAAUUCCGUUGUUACAUAACAUCUAUUAGCUUUAGGGAUCCCAAGCAAAGUCGAACCGAUUGAUUUUAGAAUUGCUCGUUUUAAUGCGCCAUAUGACAAAUUUAGACAAGUAACCAUACUUUCCAAUCACCUAACAAAUCUUGAACUUCUUGCCUGUAGCAGAAAUGUGGGGUUCAAUAAAAUCAAAAUUGGAACAAUCAUUAGCAGCAGUAAGUUGUUAAAUUGGUUUUAUUCGGAGCACAACGAGAAAAAAACAACUCAAAAACUUCCUUGGUUAGUGCUAGCAUGGGGGGAAAAAGACUUCGCCGCAUGAAAACUGCUCAUUAAAAUAACCUAUUGAAACGGAACGGAAGUCUUCGGCAAAACUCCGAACACCCUCCCCCUAGAAACGCUUAAACGGACAGCAAAUCCAAUUCAAUCCGUAUCACAACAAACCGGGGAUUCCGCGGGGACAACGAGAACAAAAACGAGUCUCAAAAAAUGCUGCUGCAAAAUACUUGGAGCACAACUUUUUUUCCAUCUUCGACCAGGGACAGUCGAGCGCGACGGAAUCGUAUUAGAAUUAAUUGAAAAUAAAAAGAAGGAAAAAAAAUUUUCUAUCGGACGAGAAAAAGAAAUCCAACUGAAACGAAAUAAUUAUCUCCCGAGAAGUUGUGAAUCGGAGGGAAGAGCAUUGAUGAAUCGUUCAAGUUUUUUUUCAUUCGGUUGUUGUUUUUUUUAUGUCCUUUUGUCUAGUUUAUCAAGGUGUCACAGGACGCCGGAGAACUCGUUAUGAGAAUCUGGAAAGUUAUAACCGUUCACACAAUUGAUUGUCUAGCAAACAAAGGGUCCACAGAAAGUUUGAAUUGUUUGCUUGCAAACUAGGCCCGGGCUUAAUUAUGUCAAUGAUUGCACAGUAAAGUAGAUGGAAGU